RNAcentral lists this long non-coding RNA (238 nucleotides) under Elaeis guineensis (African oil palm). RNAcentral's name for it is "long non-coding RNA (EGUI_LNC002702)". The record is from RNAcentral. Lineage: Eukaryota; Viridiplantae; Streptophyta; Magnoliopsida; Arecales; Arecaceae.
CAAACCAAAAGAAUUUUGAUCUUUGCUGGCCCAAUACUUGGAAAGGCUCUCCUUUAGGUUGCUCGCAGCCACACGAAGUCAUCUGACCUCUACAACACGUCUACACAAAGACUGGUGCAGAUUAGGGUCCUUGAAAGUGCUAGCUUGAAAGGAACUUAGAGACUGAUUUCUUCCUUCCUCUUCAAUGGCCUUGGAUGGAAAAAUAAACACCAGCAAGGGAACAAAGAUGUGACACCAA